RNAcentral lists this transfer RNA (73 nucleotides) under Stegodyphus mimosarum. It matches the Rfam family "tRNA". From Rfam's summary of the family: Transfer RNA (tRNA) molecules are approximately 80 nucleotides in length. Their secondary structure includes four short double-helical elements and three loops (D, anti-codon, and T loops). The record is from Rfam by way of RNAcentral. Lineage: Eukaryota; Metazoa; Arthropoda; Arachnida; Araneae; Eresidae.
GCCUUCGUGGUGUAGUGGUCAGCAUGCUCGACGCGUAACCGAGAAAUCCGUAGUUCAAAUCUCGCCGAAGGCG